Long non-coding RNA from Pyrus x bretschneideri (Chinese white pear), 7994 nucleotides. RefSeq lists it as uncharacterized. The record is from RefSeq and is a predicted model, not a curated record. The transcript is spliced from 4 exons. Lineage: Eukaryota; Viridiplantae; Streptophyta; Magnoliopsida; Rosales; Rosaceae.
UGUGUGAGCAGUAAAAUGAGAUGUAUGGAUAGCACACUCUAAUAUAAUUAGCUCAAGUUUUUCAAUACAUUACAUUUCCUAAUUUAUUUUAUGUUUUUUGGAUAAAAACCCCAACAAAAAAUGAAUGUUUAAAAAAAAAUGAAAAGCAAAAAUUAUGGGAAAAAAAAAGGAAAGAGAAUUGGGGGGUUUGUCGAAAGCGAGGUUCACCGUUUCGCCGGCUCGGCAAAAAGAUGAGUGUUGGGUACCUGUAGCAAUCUGCGAGUUCAAAAUCUAAAAUUUAAGGAUGGUGUUUGUAGCUGCAGAUUCUCUGCAUUUCCUUCUCUUCGGAUCAAAACAAAUCAACCCGAUUUCAAGGUUUCGGUUGCGGUUUUUACCCUCAAUCUGUCUCAGUCCCUCCGCCUUGAACAGUUUUACCUUCGAAGAAUCGCUUCGGUUAUCGGUUUUGCUAUUCAGUUAGAUUCAUUGGACGUUGCACAUUAAUCGACCUGUUGAUGUCUCCAAAACCCAGAUCACCCUGACGGCUUCAUUUGACGCCGAAAAGUUGUCGGAUUCCGUCGCCUGCGGUUAUGUAGUGUAAGAGCACUGUGGUGGGGUAACUCACGUUAUUUUUUUAAAAUAAGUGAGGGCAAUACAGGCAUGCUGAAAAUUUCAUUUCAAACGAGGCACCUGGAAUACUGAUGGCGAAACGAUCCAGAACAUCGCCUAGUACCAUAGACGACGAUACAGCAGCAGCUGCAACAACAACAACCGCAAGCAAUGACCUAGAACUCUACGCUGCUGUAACUUCCCUCUGUUAAGGCGCUGCCAAACAGAUGGCGCAGGUGAUGGAGCGGCUUUCUCAAGCCGGCCGCCUCAUCGCGGGCAUUAGGCUUCGCGCCAACCGCCUCCGCCAAGCCCUAUUCUUGGCCACUCAACCUCACCAGAGCUCCAAGCCUCUCCACUUGUUCCUUAACGAGGACGCCUCCAUGCGCCAACACCUCCUCUACCUCUGCUCCGUCGGAAGCCAGCUGGAAGAAUCUGGAGUUCUAAACGAGUCGCUGCGAUCACGGAGCAAUUCUUGGGGGCUACAUAUGCCAUUGGUUUGUCCCGACAGAGCUGUUGUUGCGUAUGCUUGGAAGCGGCAGCUCGCCGGCCAAGCUGGCGCGUCUGCUAUUGACAGAACCAGGUUGGUCUUAAGUUCAUAGACUAUAUCCUUUACAGUAGGAUUCUCUGCCUUCUUUUCUUCCCUCCCUUUCCCUCCCCUCCUAUUUGAACGAUUACGGUUAAGCUACGUCAACAUCUUAUAUUAAUUUUUCAUAACAAGAGAAAAACAAAAUAAGACAACGUAAAAGGAGGGGAUGGAAAGGGUUUGAAAAAAGAGGGAGAGAAUCCUAGUCCAUCAUUUACUUGAAAAAUUAUGAUUAAAGGAAAGCAUUUUUUUUGGAAAUUUCCAAAGCAUACAUUACAUUACAUUGUUGGAGAACAAUUCAGAAAAUAAAUAAAAUGACAGAAAUUGAAAUACUAUUUCUUUAUUAACAAAAUAUACUUGUAAUACAGAAUAAAAUAACAAAAAUAAUUACAUGAAUUAAUGGCGCGUUUACUAAUCCGUAAUCAAAUUGAGAGGAAUUAGAUUGAUGGGGAAUUAGAUUGAGGAGGAAAUGAAAUGAGGUGGAAUAAGAAUCAGAUUCCUGUUGAAGAAGUUUACUAAAACUGUCUGGAAUCGGAGUGAGAAUGAUGUCGAGUCCAAAGAGGUUGUUUACUAAUUUACUUCAAUUGGAAUGAAAACUAGGUUGAUUACUAUAUUGCCCUUACAUAAAUAAAUUAUUUUCAUACUAAUUAAUUAAAUUAAAUUCUUAAUUAAAUUUAUAUAAUAAAAUUCAUCUAUAUAAACAUAUAUAAAUAGGUUUUAUUUAUUUAUUAAAAGAUGGCAAUAAUGAUGUUGAGUCCAUAUAAGUUUACUAAUUCAUUUCAAUCGGAAUGAAAACUAAGUUGAUGACUAAAUUGUCCUUACAUAAAUAAAUUACUUUCAUACUUUUUAAUUAUAUUAAAUUCUUAAUUAAAUUUAUAUAAUAAAAUUAUCUAUAUAAAAAUAUACAAAUAGGUUUUUUUUAUUUAUUAAAAAUGUCAUAAUGAGUGUCAAAUGAAGGGCAAUGUUGGGAUAAUAAGAAACAAGUGAGGGCAUAAUAGGAAUAAAAGACCCAUUCCCGAUUCCCUUACCCUCAGGGAAUUCAAAUACCUCACAAAAUUAGGGAAUCCCGUUCCUCCAAUUUCAGGAAUUGAAUUCCUUGUAUCGUGUGGGCUCCACCACUUUUUUGAUUCCUUAAUAUUUAGUAAACACUGGAAUGUUAGGUUUUGAACUUACACAUAUCAUGAUAAGGAUACCUAAACGUGGGUUCAAACCAAUUAGGAGUCAUGGCCAUGUCAAUAACUGAUCUCCUAGAAUUAAGGGAUAUGGGACAUGAUAAGGAUGCUUACAUUGCUCCACGUCAAAAGAAACUGAUUGCUGCAGUUCAUAGCAGUUGCUAUCCAAUCAUCUUGAUAGAUGGAAGUUGGAGAAGUUCAGUUCGAUAUAAUAAAGGAUUCCCUGCUCACAAAGAACACGUUCUGUAAUCAGGGUUCUAUCACCAUUGGAACAUAAGGUCUUGAGUGAGUAGAAGAAUUCUUAUGUAUUACUAGUAAACACAGCCUGCACCAGGUUUUUCAGUUGGUGUUGCUGCUGUCUUUGUUGCUGGGCAGAUGGGUUCUCAGGUAUGGUCGAUCUCUUUUUAAUGCCAACUCUUGUAAUGUUAUAUGUAAGAUAUGUUGUUUGUGAUCCUUGUUGAAGACUAACGAUUUAUAGUUCCUACAUUUGGUAUCAGAGCAAGGUUAGUCUACUUGGAUUCAAACUUAAUUAUCUUAACAUUUAUACCUAUAUCAUUAACUGGGAAUAUUUGCUGUACGGGGAAGAGAAUUGCCUCAACCUAGCCCCUAAUGUUAGCAUCGGUGAUUGUUGCCUGGAUUCAUGACAACAUCUAAUUCCCUACAUCAUGGCUACCUUGGUUAAUGAUGGUUUCAUUUAUUAUUUUGAGGCAUUUAUUUAUGACUAUUUUGAUUUCUUGGUUCAUGGUUGCCUCGAUAUAUUGUUGCCUAAUUCCUAAUUACAAGUUCCUGUAAUGUUUCUUGAUUGUUUAUAUAUGCAAGUACAAGUAAAAAGAUGAUUAGGUCACCAAACUUGUGAAACCCAAUCUCUGCUUAGAGAACCUGCAUGUUGCUUUCAUCUUGGUUGAAAAGACACAGAAUUAGGCAAAUUCUACAAAGAAGGGCAAUUUUAAGUGGUUUGUUUUUGUGCAAUGUUGGAUGCUUGUAAAUUUUUCUCUUCAUAAGCAUGCGUAUUUUUUAUUUAUUUCAAUUUUCUUCCUUGAUCUCCUUGGGUGCAUGCAAGUAAAGUUGAAACUAAACUAUUUUCAUGCACUGGUUGAUGGUGUGUAAAUGAACAUUGCGAGAAUGUAUCUUGGUAAAAUUAUACUGCAGUGUGUGUGCUAUCUGCUGCUGUGAUUCUUCUGGUAAAGUUUCCUCGUUAAACAACAGAUUGAGUGCAUGCUCUGGGACAUGACUAAUCAAAUGAUGUUUUUCAUUAGUUUAUUAGUAUGAUUAUAUCCCAUUUAUUUAAAAAUGGAAGAUGAAGUGGCUUUAUGAUCUGCAUAUGCAACGUGUUUGGCUGCAGUGAGAAUACAUUUUUCAUCUAUUUCUGUUGUGAUCAAUAUAAUGAUCCGUAUAUUGUUGGAACUAUAUCACUUGGAGUUUUAUCUUUUUUGCUACUAUACUAACAGUUUGGUUUGCAGUAAAUGUUAAGAACAAUUAAGAACAUUGUUCGAUUACAGUAAAGGAAGAAUGGUUGUGGUUUAAAACUCAAGAAAUGUUCACAUUCUUUUCCAAAGAAGGGGAUGUAUAAAUUGUUGGUGGUUUUAAUCAGUGUAUGGCAUCAUGUAGAUCAGGCCAUAUUCUUGUCCAAAGACUUGUAAUAAUUGCAUGAUAAGAUCCUUGAAUGAUGGCUAUACAAUGAAGGUCAAUGUCAGUUUAUAUCUCUUGCCCAAAGGUGUGAUAUAAACAUGCAUUUGACAAUCACUAAUGAUUGUUUCAAGUUUUCCAUGUCUUCUUAAGAUAGUCCUUACAGUUUUCCAGAUGAUUUCAACUGGCGUAUCAGGAUAGAUUUAAGGACUGGGAAUCUUCACGUUUUGAGAUUGUGCCGCUGCUGUGUUAUGCGGGCAGAAGCAGAUGCUGAGGUAUCACUCUAAUGCUUUCAUUCUUUCCCAUGUGUGCUGUCAGAAGCAUUCCCAUGUUGUUACUGUUAAAGUAUAACCUUCAGACUUCUUUCCCAUGUGUGUUACACAAGUCUUUCCCAUGCGUGCUGUCAGAAGACAGCAGAUGGUGCUGCCAUAUACUUGAUAUAAUUGCAUGAAAAGAUCUUGUAAUGGUGGGUGUACAAUAAAGAAUGAAUGGUUGCUUAUAGUUUUAACUGAAGGUAUGUUAUAAGUAUGCAUUUCAACGAUUUUUCCAUGUCUUCUUCAGUGAAUACCUCGGCUAUGAUCCUGUGCUAUUUGUUUAUUGUGAUAAGAAAUCCUAAUGCUUUAUGCAUGUAUAAAAUUCGUAUGAUGAUUGCUACAGUUUUUCUAUAGCAUGAUUAAUUGUUCUAAUGCCAUAUGCUGCUGCCAAAGUUUUAUUCACAGCAGGAAAAGGAAUAUAUGGUUUCGAGAUUAAAACACUGUAAGCUGCGCUUUUAUCAUUCUAGAAUUGGUAGUCAUGGUUGUUUCAGAUUCACAAACGAUGAUCGAUAUCUGAUUGAAAUCUGGUAUAUGAUUGAAAUCAGUUUCUUGAUAUCUAAAUAUGUAUUGGCAAUAGGCAUUGGUGUAGAUUGUAGCUUAGUAAAUUUAUGUUGAACUUGAAUAUGGCUGGUAGGUUGCAAGGUUCCUGAUACAUGUGAAAAUAAUCUAUAAUUAUAACUUGUGUAGAAAAUUGGUUUUUUAUUUGACGUUUGGAUGAUUUCUACAAUCAAAUUGAAAUGCUAAAGUUUUAUGCAGGUUUUCAACACUAAUAAUCUCUAUACUUGAACAGAUGUUUGAAUAAAUCUUCACCAAAGUGGGAAUUAUUAGGAAAUUUUGUUCAAGGGAUUCUUAAUUGAAUUUUGUGAGUGACAGUUCAUUGCAUAAGACCAAUCUUUCAAAAGAAAGAAAUAGUGAAUGGCUUGAACUGUGAUAUAGCGUGUAGUAUUUUAUAAAAGUUUUAAGUCAACUUUGUUCCCUUGUCCAAAGGCAUGAUUUGAGUUGUAACUUGAAAUUUUUGUGAAAUAGCUCUGCAAAUAAGGAUGCAUGAUUAAGAUUGCAUAACUGAUAUUUUGUCUCUUGCCCAAAGUUGUUACAUAAAAUUGCAUGUCAUGGUUAUUCACUCAAUGACUAGUUUAUCUGCAUAAGGCAGAAUUGAGGCUCGGUUGGAAGCAUUAGGCAAACUCAUUGGAUUUUGAUAAAGGAUCGAAUAUGAUUGUAUCAUAUUUGAUGUUGUUUCAUAUAUAUAUGCAAUGUUUGAAAUGAUGAAUUACUAAUCAAACCGAGGUUUAAUGAGCUGGUUAUUGCAAAAGGCUUAUCAUUGGAGCCAAACAAUGGCUUGACAAUGAUGUUUGGUUUGAUUAGUGGGAGUGUAAAUAAUAGACAUGUUAAAUAUGUUUGUUUGCUCUGUUAAUAUCAUGCAUGAGUAGUUUUGAGGGAUGUGAUUUCAGAGUGUUAGUACAAAUUAUGAAGUACUAAUUUUCUGGGGUUCAACUUUUGAAGCUAUUCAUGGCAAAUAUGAGUUGUUGUAUGGUUGACAUGACUUGAGUGAUCACAAAGGGAUUGGCUUAAUACGUUGGACAAGGAACAUGAUAAGUGGAAGUUCAAAAGUGGGAGAAUGUUAGGUUUUGAACUUACACAUAUCAUGAUAAGGAUACCUAAACGUGGGUUCAAACCAAUUAGGAGUCAUGGCCAUGUCAAUAACUGAUCUCCUAGAAUUAAGGGAUAUGGGAUGUGAUAAGGAUGCUUACAUUGCUCCACGUCAAAAGAAACUGAUAACUGCAGUUCAUAGCAGUUGCUAUCCAAUCAUCUUGAUAGAUGGAAGUUGGAGAAGUUCAGUUCGAUAUAAUAAAGGAUUCCUGCUCACAAAGAACACAUUCUGUAAUCAGGGUUCUAUCACCAUUGGAACAUAAGGUCUUGAGUGAGUAGAAGAAUGCUUAUGUGUUACCAGUAAACAUAGCUUGCACUAGGUUUUUCAGUUGGUGUUGCUGCUGUCUUUGUUGCUCGGCAGAUGGGUUCUCAGGUAUGGUCGAUCUCUUUUUAAUGCCAACUCUUGUCAUGUUAUAUGUAAGAUAUGUUGUUUGUGAUCCUUGUUGAAGACUAACCAUUUAUAGUUCCUACACGGAAUUCUCCGUAAUCGGAAUUCAAUUCCCUUUCCUUAUUCCGAUUACCCUUACGUAAACAUGCCAUAAAUGAUACUAACUUGAUUAAAUCAUAGAUAGAGGCUAGCGUAAAAGCUAUGUCCUUCGAACAAUAUUUCUGUCCUACUCUUGUGCUUGUGAUUCUACGACAUUUGCCUGAUCAAGAUACAACCAUCUAAUUCUACAACCUGCAUCGGAUUAUAGAAUUCUGACGAAUAGCUUUGUGUGUUUGCCCUCUGUAAGGUUUUGUAUGGGAGAGAUGGGAAAGGAAAAUAUGUUAUAUGAUGGAAAUGAGACUUCAGUUAUAUAGGUUCUUUCAUACCUCUUCAAAUACUUUUUGUUUGUAUUUGAAACCACACAAUUUUUUCCAAAUAGUUGUGUCUAUUAAUCAAAACGUUUUUUAAUUAAUUUAAUUAAAAAACUUAAUUCAAAAUUAAAAUUAAAGAACUUUGAUUAAUUUUAACUUCUUAAGCCUCGAGGCUCAAGGCUUUUGUCUUGAUUAAUAAUAUUAAUAUUGUAUAAUCAUCAAACUUAAUCCACACAAUUAGUGGCUCAAACCUCAAUUCUCAUUCUAAGUGGUCCAAUACCUAACCAUUAAUAAAGGUGACUAACCCUAAAUAAAGGCUUCUAGGGAACUUGAGUUCCCCGAUGUGGGACUAAAGGAGGCUUAAAACUCCUACAUACAUAAGCUUCUGCUCCAAAAAAAAAAAAAGUAACAGAUUUUGAAUAGUUUUUCACUAAAGAGGAUGUGGAGCAAAUACAAGUUUCGUAAUUUCGUAUCGGGUUUCGAAUCUCAUUCAUUGAUGAUUAUAUUCUUACUGGUUGUGUAUCUUGCCAUUUCUUGAAUUGUGUUAUUCAAUGUUCUAGGUCAGCUGUCAAGGCCUUCAUUGAAUUGUGUUAUUCAAAGUUCUUGGUUAGCUCUCAGAAAAAAUAUAUCUUGCUUGCAGGACUCUUCAAUAUUUGGCAGCUGGGAGGCCUUCCCUUCCUUGAUGAAAAUCAGGCAGCUUAGGAGUCUUUUCAUGCUUGCCGCUGGUCUUGGAUUCUAAGAUCGGCCAACAUGAUAGCGGACCGUUUAGCGUCGAAUAGGUAUACAUAGAUGUGCAACUUCACAUGCGCUAACUGUCCCCCAUCUUUGUUGAUUCGUGUUCUGAACAAUGACGGUUUACCAUGUCCUCCUCAAAUUUCCUGAAAUUGGUAGUGUAGGGGGCAACGUUUUAGCAUUUGUUGCAGCGUAAUGUCCCCUACUUAUAUCUUCAUGAGCAUAUCUUUAAGUUCCAUAAGGCUCUACAGACAUGAAGAGCUUGGUGGGCUCCAUGUGUUCUUACACUGAUCCAAGGAGUUAAUUUUAUGAUUAACUAGUAUAUGUCCACAUACAAAGUGUGAAAUUUUUUAUCUUAGUGAGAGUGGGGAGAGAGGUUUAUUUUUUAAUUUUUAUUUAAUUUUUUUAAAAUUAAAAUGUUAAAAUCACUUGUAGGUGAAACUUAAACAAAAAAAUAGCAAAAUUUUGUUUUGUAAAAUUACAUUACUGCUCUUAAUCAUUUUGUUGUAAUAUAAGACUAAAUAGUAUUUUCACCAU